GACGAACGCUGGCGGCGUACUUAACACAUGCAAGUCGAACGGAAAGGCCCUGCUUUUGUGGGGUGCUCGAGUGGCGAACGGGUGAGUAACACGUGAGUAACCUGCCCUUGACUUUGGGAUAACUUCAGGAAACUGGGGCUAAUACCGGAUAGGAGCUCCUGCUGCAUGGUGGGGGUUGGAAAGUUUCGGCGGUUGGGGAUGGACUCGCGGCUUAUCAGCUUGUUGGUGGGGUAGUGGCUUACCAAGGCUUUGACGGGUAGCCGGCCUGAGAGGGUGACCGGCCACAUUAGGACUGAGAUACGGCCCAGACUCCUACGGGAGGCAGCAGUGGGGAAUAUUGCACAGUGGGCGGAAGCCAGGUGCAGCAACGCCGCGUGCGGGAUAACAGCCUUCGGGUUGUAAACCGCUUUCGCCUGUGACGAAGCGUGAGUGACGGUAAUGGGUAAAGAAGCACCGGCUAACUACGUG
RNAcentral lists this ribosomal RNA (468 nucleotides) under uncultured bacterium. Its description in RNAcentral is "partial 16S ribosomal RNA". It matches the Rfam family "Bacterial small subunit ribosomal RNA", at positions 28 to 507 of the family's 1533-position model. The record is from RNAcentral.